RNAcentral lists this ribosomal RNA (544 nucleotides) under uncultured bacterium. RNAcentral describes it as "bacterial SSU rRNA". It matches the Rfam family "Bacterial small subunit ribosomal RNA", at positions 774 to 1319 of the family's 1533-position model. The record is from RNAcentral.
AGAGAAUAGAUACCCGGGUAGUCCACGCCGUAAACGAUGAAUACUAGGUGUGGGGGUUGUCACGACCUCCGUGCCGCCGCUAAACGCAUUAAGUAUUCCGCCUGGGGAGUACGGUCGCAAGAUUAAAACUCAAAGGAAUUGACGGGGGCCCGCACAAGCAGCGGAGCAUGUGGUUUAAUUCGAAGCAACGCGAAGAACCUUACCUAGACUUGACAUCUCCUGAAUUACUCUUAAUCGAGGAAGUCCCUUCGGGGACAGGAAGACAGGUGGUGCAUGGUUGUCGUCAGCUCGUGUCGUGAGAUGUUGGGUUAAGUCCCGCAACGAGCGCAACCCUUAUUGUUAGUUGCUACCAUUUAGUUGAGCACUCUAGCGAGACUGCCCGGGUUAACCGGGAGGAAGGUGGGGAUGACGUCAAAUCAUCAUGCCCCUUAUGUCUAGGGCUACACACGUGCUACAAUGGUCGGUACAGAGAGAUGCUAAACCGUGAGGUGGAGCCAAACUUUAAACCGAUCUCAGUUCGGAUUGUAGGCUGAAACUCGCCUAC